RNAcentral lists this transfer RNA (96 nucleotides) under Actinoplanes couchii. RNAcentral describes it as "tRNA-Arg". Lineage: Bacteria; Bacillati; Actinomycetota; Actinomycetes; Micromonosporales; Micromonosporaceae. The record is from RNAcentral.
UUGGCGGGAGCUCCUGGUUCCUUUGCGGGGUCCUCCGCUCCGGCCGGGGGUGGGCAGACCAUCGCUCUCGGGCCGCGUGCGGAUCCCGCCGCCCGA